UCUUACCCUCCCCCUCCUGGUCCGGCGAAGUAGCCGCGUCCAGAAAACGAACGCCGUCCUAGCCAAAGUGCCUGAGAGAGGCGGCUCUGCCUGAGGUUUUGCCACUGGUGUCCCGCUGCGGGGGACGUUUUCGACCUUGGAGGAGCCAGCCUGCCCUUUGUACUCAGGCCCUCUGUCCUGGAGAGGACCACGCCGAUCUCAAGCAAAGGCCGACAGCCGAGGAAUGGCCAUUUAUUGUCUGCCUUUUCCAAGCAGUAUUUGGAGCCCGGUCCUGGACGGAGACGAACCUGGCCAAGGAUCAUACAGGGGAAACGUCGAAGGCACUAAAAUGAAAAUGCUCUCUCCGCUUUCCACCCCCAGCUUCUGAGGCUGUCGCCCUCUGUCUGUGCCCUGCGUUUCCGUUCCACUCCCACUUUGGGGUUGCAGUAGCGCACCGCUGCCCAAGGCACCCAGCACCCCAAGCAAUCUGACCGCACUAAGCGAACCGAGUGAUGGGGCCGAGGCGCGGCGAAGUAGCCCUAUACCAGGUCGUACUUCAGCCGCAAGUCCCCUUCCCGAAGAGAUGGACCCGCCCCAGCGCGCUUUAGCCGUCGCUCUUAGAAGCCUCUCGGCCGCCGCGCGCUGCUGCUCCGGGCGUGAGCCUUCGGCCCAAAGGUCCUACCGGGGCCUUUUUGCACUUACUUCCAGCUUCUUUUCUAACGCUUAAUUUUUAAUCCAAUCUCAAAACUAAAACAAAGCCCAAGAGUUUGGUUGGGGCUGGAACACGCGCAGGGGCCCAAUUCUGCCUUUGCCCCUCGGACCACAACCGGAAGUCACCGGGAGAAAGCUCUGCCGCCGCGCUAGCCGAAAUCCGUCCAAGGUCAGAGGAAUCCGCACAGCCAGUUUUGAGGCCAAUGCGUGUUGAGCGCUCCCGACGUGCCGCACGCUGUUCUACAGCUCGAUGUCAGGAAAACGCCAGGAGCUCCGGGUAUGUAACUUACAAAUGAAGACCCAGCCUUCUGCCCCUUGCUUCAAGAAACCAAAACAGCUGCACUGAAUCCUGAAUUUCUUCAGCAUGGCGUAAGCAUGAUUGCCACGGAGAGAGCGCACUUCGACAGAGCAGUGCCAAAGGAUGCUGGAGGACAAAAGAAAUAUUUGGACGUCAGCGCUGAUUUAUAUUUUUGGAAGAGCUACGUUUCCUUUUCUGAAGAGAAGCAAGCGCGCCCCAUAUCCUGAGCUCAGCAGGGAGGACAGGAGGGGAGUUUUGAUGCUCCAGGAAGUUCAUCCAUCGCGGCGCGGCGCGCAGGGCCCGGCGCCCGCGGAGUUCGCUGCCCUUGGAGAUAUUUAUUUAUUUGGGGGGAGGGGAGGGCAAAGGGAGACGAGACAAGUCAAACACGUGAAGAAAAACCGACCACGGCUGAAUUGGGACCUCCAGGGCGCCUCCCGACCUGCCGCCCCACAGCGGGCCGGCGAAGCUCCUACGUCGGGGGGCGUUGGAGACAAAUCCUCGCAACCUCCGGACGCGUUUGGCUGAUGAAUUCCGCAGCCCACCGCGAGCGUCCUCCCUCGUUCAGUGCCUGAGGCUAACCUCUCCGGACCCAAGGGCGCCUCCCAGGUGGUCCUGUCCCUCUGGCUGGCUGUGCGCUGAGCGCGUGGGGCCCAGCCACCUUCCUCCUGAGCCUGGUUAAACAGGCAGAAGCAGUGGGCGAGGGGCGCCUCAAAAGCGUGGUGCCACAGAGUAGGGGGCGCGCGGGCCCCGCGGCUGGAGGCACAGCAAGGUGGGCGCAGAAGUAAUGCCGAGCUCAAAAUAUCCUGAGAGGCCCUGGCUUCACUGUUUUGUUUCAUCAACGGGGACUUCCCUCACAGCAGCACAAGUGGAUGCAAAAUUUCCGUGCUGAGGGGCACCAGCACCCACACUUGCUUCUGCCUUUUUUUCUCCCAACACUGGGAAUGUGUGGGACAGGCUUCUCUAAUUUUCCUUCGCUGCUGGGAGUCCUCUCAUUCCUGCCCCGUCGGAAGGGCGCACCGACUGUGUCUUUCCCAGCACUGCCCCUUUUCUCUUGUUGCUGCAGGCAUCAGAGCUGCCUUUUAGGAGGAAUGGCAAUGCCUACGAUGGAAACCUUCUUCUCAAGCCCCACCCAUAAACUCAGUAGGCGGUGGAAGAAGCCUAAGGGUGGUCCACUGGUCCCCUUGAGCUCUCAAGGUGCCCUGCCUGGUACCAAUGCGCUGGCACCCGGGUCAGGGCCUGAGGGUAGAUGGGUCCUGUUCCUGGAAGUAUACCAAAGUUGUGUCUCCCAACUGAAGGGCUCUAGGGCCUCGAAAUCUGAGAAGUGUGGAGACAGGAAGAGGCGCAGUCGCCAUAUGGGGCUCUGGAAGAUUGGACCCCUUUUUACUUCCUCCUCAAGCACCUCAGACUAGGCCAAGCCAGGUAUCAAAUCAGGUCUACCUCCAGGCCCAGGAGAUGGGGGCUUUCCGCGGAUCUCUCAGGAAGGUGGCUAUUAAAAGCCCUGCCCAGGACAGGCGUUUGGAGAGCGGAAGAAUCUAUCCAAAUAAACAUUUGGAAUUGGGUGGCUGGUGUUCAUUCAAGCCCGGAGGUCUAGGGGUUUCUGGACCGAGGAAGAAGAGCAGACACUGAGAAGGGUGUAAAAUUCCCACCAUUAACCCUCCUUGCCAAGUUCCCCUCUCCUGAGCGCCUUCUCCUGGCCUCCUGGCCUCCUGGCCAGAUUUUCUACUAUAAAUUAAAAUUUCUAGGGGGGCCUCUGCGUCGUGCAGGCUCCUGGUCUUCCUUGGUUUCCUCAAACAAGCUGACACUCCCUGAGCCUCAGCAUUGAGUUCCCACCGUCCCCAUCUACAAAGGCCUCGCAGGAGCUAGAGAAUCCUCUACACAUAUUAACUUUGUACCAAAACACAGGGUGAAUACAGUGGUCAGUUACAGGCCGAUUUGGGAAGAGGCUUUGCUCCGGCCGGGCUGACGGAAGGAAGGGAGGGGCAAGCAGAGCUAGAGUGUCCCGAGGAGGAGAGGUCUUGGAUGGCGGUAAACAGUGUCGGUGCGGAUGCGUCUCUCCGGUGGGUAACUGGUUUAGUCUAAGCCAUUUCAUGUAAAACCCACGAAGCAGAGGAAGUAUGCUAAGAACAUAAAAUUUAAACCGCAAUAAUGAAGAGAUUUCCUAGAAUGAAACGCCGAUUACAAAACAAAAUCGGAGAAACCCAAGCUUCCCGAAGUUUACAUUCCCCAGCGCAGGAGCAGGGGCGGGGCCUUGGGGUUUGGAGCGGGAAAGGAACCCGCAGCCCAGGCGGACACAGUCAACCAAAGAGGGUCAGAGCACCGAGGAUGGACAGAGGGCGGUUGCACUCGACGCCCUGUAUUUCUGGUUAAGCAAGGAGCAGCCUGGGCUCAUCUAUAUUCAUUUUAACGAACCAUAAUACCUUUCCUUCCAGUAAGAAAAAAUAAAUCUAGAUUUUUGUUGUUUAUAAGGCAAUGGAAGUAAGGAAGAGCUCACCACCAUAAGAAAGGACUUCGGAGAGAGGGAACUGUCCUAAGCAAGGAUAUGUUGCAGAGACAACUUUCCUCUUAAACUGUCUGCUAAACAGAAAUUCAGAUAUUCUUGCCAGGGAUAAAGAAUUUGACAUGACUUGUUACUGCAUGCAUUCUUACCCAGGAGAUCUGUAUAAAUCAGUAAUUAAAACAAAGUUGAGAGGUUUCACUGCAAUGUGUGGAAGCAGCACUGGAUUGGGAUCCCAGACCCCCCCCCCCCACUAUAGGCCAGCUUUGUUAUUUCCCCAGGUGUGACUUGCAGUGAGUCAUCUGAUCUUUCUGAACCCCAGUCUCCUUAUGGCUAAGCGGAGAUAACUGUACUUAGGUCAGAUGGUGGUGACAUGAUGUGAGUGGAAAAGCUUCUACCUGUGAAGUCUAUAAGGAACAAAUUCGGGGGUUAGUAUUUCUUGACUUGGGGGUCCCUGUCAGGGGAAGUUUCCAUAGGCAAAAGUGGGGUCUCCAAGAAAGAAUUUCAGAGAAAAGCCUCUUCCUGCUCAGAUAACUCAGGUCACCAACCUCCAUAUUUUUUGUGGAGUGCAGAGUAGUAUUUAGAUCCCCGGAGAGAGAAAAAGGCUUCAAGACAGCUGAGCUGCUCCUGGCUGGAACUGUAACUACAAUGCCUACAGUCUUUCUAAGACCUGUCUAGCCUCCUGUAACACUCAGCAAAGUAUAAGUGGUAUUUCUUGCAAGUUUGAAGAGUUUAAGUAAAAUGGAUACCAUUGUCACUUGGAUUGGAUAGGAAAGGGAGCCUUUAAAAAUCCCUGCUAUUUUAGCCUGCUUGGAUUUUAGGGUAGGUGGUUUUUAUUCUUCAGUCUCUGGGUCCUAAAACCUUUUAGGGUCUGAGAUCCAAUGUACAUAGAAUUCCUAGGUGUGGACAG
Acinonyx jubatus (cheetah) is the source of this 4392-nucleotide long non-coding RNA. RefSeq lists it as uncharacterized. The record is from RefSeq and is a predicted model, not a curated record. NCBI's taxonomy places the organism in Eukaryota, Metazoa, Chordata, Mammalia, Carnivora, Felidae. The transcript has 3 exons.